Molecule: long non-coding RNA, 197 nt
Organism: Haliotis rubra (blacklip abalone)
Lineage: Eukaryota; Metazoa; Mollusca; Gastropoda; Lepetellida; Haliotidae
Exons: 2
Source: RefSeq, a predicted model, not a curated record
UUAUCAACAUCAACAGGAGAGAUCACGGCAACAUGACACCAGUCAUUAUAACAGUUCAAGCUGGACACUCUGAUAUUUAUCACCUUCUUGUGUCAGAGGGAGCUGAUGUGUCACUUACUGAUGACAUGGGCAGAGACUGUCUGAUGUAUGCAUGUGAGGGAGGUAACAUGUCUAUAGUUAGACACCUACUAUCUUUG